Long non-coding RNA from Mastomys coucha (southern multimammate mouse), 454 nucleotides. RefSeq lists it as uncharacterized. The record is from RefSeq and is a predicted model, not a curated record. Lineage: Eukaryota; Metazoa; Chordata; Mammalia; Rodentia; Muridae. The transcript has 2 exons.
AGUGAUAGUCACUCAUCCAUGUAAGGCAGCACAUGGGCCUGGAUCUUGUCCUUCUACUGCAGUAAAGCUAGCUGCAGGUUGGCUAAGAGCAGGAUUUAGACUGAGAUUACAUUUUUGUCCUUCAUCUUUUGAAUUUAACAUCUAUGAUCCCCACUGACCUGAACGUAGUGUGUCUUCUACAGAGCAUGCACUGGCUGCAAUUUGUGAAGAACAGCAGGGUAAACUUUUCUCCAUUACUUGGCUGGCAGUAGCUCUUAGCUUGUAGCAGGCUUGCCCACAAUUUCCCAGUCCUCCGGGAAAUUUCCCAGAGGGUUCUGACCCUCUGAGUUCAUUUAUGUCCUGAUGUUCAAGUUGUUUGAAGAAACUGGAGCAGUGUAAUAUUCUUCAUAGUUUGGACAAGAUUGCUCGGGCCUGACAUGAAUUCCUUGUUAUUAAAUGCUGUUACUUGUAAUUU